AAAGCGCCCAGACAGAUGUUCAGG
Molecule: non-coding RNA, 24 nt
Filed under: Arabidopsis thaliana (thale cress)
Lineage: Eukaryota; Viridiplantae; Streptophyta; Magnoliopsida; Brassicales; Brassicaceae
Source: RNAcentral